This 384-nucleotide ribosomal RNA is filed under the name uncultured Alphaproteobacteria bacterium. RNAcentral's name for it is "bacterial SSU rRNA". It matches the Rfam family "Bacterial small subunit ribosomal RNA", at positions 9 to 419 of the family's 1533-position model. Lineage: Bacteria; Pseudomonadati; Pseudomonadota; Alphaproteobacteria. The record is from RNAcentral.
GAGUUUGAUCAUGACUCAGAACGAACGCUGGCGGCAGGCCUCAAACAUGCAAGUCUAGGGGGUGUAGCAAUACAUCACCGGCGGACGGGUGCGUAACGCGUGGGAAUAUACCUAUUGGUUCGGAACAACUGAGGGAAACUUCAGCUAAUACCGAAUGUGCCCUUACGGGGAAAGAUUUAUCGCCAAUGGAUUAGCCCGCGUUGGAUUAGCUAGUUGGUGGGGUAACGGCCUACCAAGGCGACGAUCCAUAGCUGUUCUGAGAGGAAGAUCAGCCACACUGGGACUGAGACACGGCCCAGACUCCUACGGGAGGCAGCAGUUGGGAAUCUUGGACAAUGGGGGAAACCCUGGUCCAGCCAUGCCGCGUGAGUGAUGAAGGCCUUC